This is a long non-coding RNA of Manis pentadactyla (Chinese pangolin), 551 nucleotides long. RefSeq lists it as uncharacterized. Lineage: Eukaryota; Metazoa; Chordata; Mammalia; Pholidota; Manidae. The transcript has 3 exons. The record is from RefSeq and is a predicted model, not a curated record.
CGCGUCUCGGCCCCGCGCGCGGGCCUGCAGCCCAGGGCGGCCCCCGCGGAGAGCGCGCCUCGCGCUGAAGCCGCGGCGGCCGGCGCCUACGCACUCGGAGGGAAACCGAGAGCAGCCGAGCGGACAAAACCGGUAUGUGGCAAUAGAAACAGCACAAGGUGGCCCAGACCUGGGGAGCAGGUGACUGGCAAGGGGCACCGAGGAACCCUGGGGGCUGAGAUCUGCGUCCAGUUGGUGGGGGAAGGCAACAUAGACGUGAAGGAAAAAAAGCUUUCCAAAGGACAGUGCUAUGGUCUCGUGGGUAUCGGGCUAAAACUACUGGCUGUCCAGGUAUCUUUCAUUCUUUCUGGGUCAGGGACGGUCUAGUGAUGUCCAAAUUGUGUGAAGUCGAUUCCUUAUGUCAAUAACAUCUUUAUACAAAAGGAGAGAGCUUUUAUUUCCCUAGAUAAUACUCUGAGAGAACAGCUUUAACUGGCUCAUGAUUAUCAGGGCACAAGGAAGAACAUGAAUGACCCAAUUUUCAUGCUAUAAUAGGAUUUUACAUGGGUGUU